AAAAACAAGGUGGAUCACAAAGAUCGCUUCAAUGUUCAUCCCACGCCGCAUGAGCGACGUAUGACGAAAAGAGACAUCAUAAAACCCACACGUUACCAUCGAUUAGGUAUGCAACACAAGAAACCCACAAUAUGCUCAAGACAAAGCAAGUCUUGCCGCAAAACUGAAGAGGUAUGCACGCGUGGACGUUGCUGCGCAAGCAGACAGCCAACCACCCGUAACAAACCAAACACCACUCAUGCACCUCCCCGGUCAACAUUCCCGAAAACCGCCCGACUAGUAGCGACCCACCCAACCAAAAGGCCAAGCAAGCAACCA
Molecule: unclassified non-coding RNA, 318 nt
Filed under: Serratula tinctoria
Lineage: Eukaryota; Viridiplantae; Streptophyta; Magnoliopsida; Asterales; Asteraceae
Description: partial external transcribed spacer
Source: RNAcentral